GCAGAACCGGUGAAGAUUUGGGGACGGGACGAGGCGGCCGCGACCCUGCCGGAGUCCGGGGGGGACCUCCAGAAACCCGGGGGGUCCCUGACUCUCGUGUGCCGCGCAUCCGGCUUCGAUUUCGGGAAUUACGGAAUGUUCUGGAUCCGCCAGAGCCCCGGGAAGGGGCUGGAAUUCGUCGCACAGAUCAGCAGCGGUGGCAGCACCGGAUACGCGCCGUCGGUCAAGGGCCGGUUCACGAUCUCCAGGGACAACGGGCAGAGCUCGGUGACGCUGACCAUGACCAACCUCAAGGACGACGAUUCCGGCUCCUAUUUCUGUGCCAAGGCUGCUGGUGCUGGUGGUGGUUACGGGAGUGUUGGUGCUUAUGCUGCUGAUUGA
Cinclus cinclus is the source of this 381-nucleotide non-coding RNA. The record is from the annotation of a RefSeq genome assembly. Lineage: Eukaryota; Metazoa; Chordata; Aves; Passeriformes; Cinclidae.